GUCUGCAGACAUACCACCCGGAACACACCUGAUCUUUUCUGAUCUCGGAAGCUAAGGAGAGCUGGGCCUGGUUAGUACCUGGAUGGGUGAAAGUAUAAAGAUGAACAAGAUAUUGUUUUUA
This 121-nucleotide ribosomal RNA is filed under the name Jaculus jaculus (lesser Egyptian jerboa). Lineage: Eukaryota; Metazoa; Chordata; Mammalia; Rodentia; Dipodidae. The record is from RNAcentral.